RNAcentral lists this ribosomal RNA (753 nucleotides) under Microbacterium sp. Its description in RNAcentral is "bacterial SSU rRNA". It matches the Rfam family "Bacterial small subunit ribosomal RNA", at positions 48 to 814 of the family's 1533-position model. Lineage: Bacteria; Bacillati; Actinomycetota; Actinomycetes; Micrococcales; Microbacteriaceae. The record is from RNAcentral.
UUAACACAUGCAAGUCGAACGGUGAAAGAGAGCUUGCUCUCUGGAUCAGUGGCGAACGGGUGAGUAACACGUGAGCAAUCUGCCCCUGACUCUGGGAUAAGCGUUGGAAACGACGUCUAAUACCGGAUACGAGCUGCGAAGGCAUCUUCAGCAGCUGGAAAGAACUUCGGUCAGGGAUGAGCUCGCGGCCUAUCAGCUAGUUGGUGAGGUAAUGGCUCACCAAGGCGUCGACGGGUAGCCGGCCUGAGAGGGUGACCGGCCACACUGGGACUGAGACACGGCCCAGACUCCUACGGGAGGCAGCAGUGGGGAAUAUUGCACAAUGGGCGCAAGCCUGAUGCAGCAACGCCGCGUGAGGGACGACGGCCUUCGGGUUGUAAACCUCUUUUAGCAGGGAAGAAGCGAAAGUGACGGUACCUGCAGAAAAAGCACCGGCUAACUACGUGCCAGCAGCCGCGGUAAUACGUAGGGUGCAAGCGUUAUCCGGAAUUAUUGGGCGUAAAGAGCUCGUAGGCGGUUUGUCGCGUCUGCUGUGAAAACUGGGGGCUCAACCCCCAGCCUGCAGUGGGUACGGGCAGACUAGAGUGCGGUAGGGGAGAUUGGAAUUCCUGGUGUAGCGGUGGAAUGCGCAGAUAUCAGGAGGAACACCGAUGGCGAAGGCAGAUCUCUGGGCCGUAACUGACGCUGAGGAGCGAAAGGGUGGGGAGCAAACAGGCUUAGAUACCCUGGUAGUCCACCCCGUAAACGUUGGGA